UUUUAUAUCUCUCUGAUCUCUUUAAUAUCCUCUCUCUAUCCUCUUACAGAACAUUAAAUACAUUGUUUCUCCAUUUGUAGGUUAAAAUAUGUUACCAAAAUUGUUCUGUACAAUAAUCUUCAUUAUUAUUGUCGGGGGUGUAGAAACUUCUGGACGACUGGAUGUGUACAUGAACUCUGUACUGCAAAAGAAAACAAUGAACAACAAUACAAAUCUUGAGAAUAUUCUUCAAACUCUACUAGGAAGAAGUUGUACUGAGGUGAGGUUUGAAGGUUUAGAGUCUGAUUUAACCAAACUUGGAUUUCAUCAAACCUAUAAUUCACAG
Eurytemora carolleeae is the source of this 325-nucleotide long non-coding RNA. RefSeq lists it as uncharacterized. The transcript has 3 exons. The record is from RefSeq and is a predicted model, not a curated record. Lineage: Eukaryota; Metazoa; Arthropoda; Copepoda; Calanoida; Temoridae.